CCCACUUGGGCUAUCAGAAUCCCCAAAUUUUAACAUUUGGUGUAAUAUAAUUCUUGCUAUAUAAAGGGACAUUGAACUCUUUUCUCAAAGCUAUAGAAAAAUUAUAUAUUAUUAGGUCAGGGCUAGAAAUAUUUUGAUAAAAUGGUGAAGAUGUUUUGGAGUUAGUAAAAAGAUUAAGGAAUCGACAAAAAUAUUUUGAUUAAGACAUUUUCGAGGAUCGUUGAGAGAGAAAAAAAGAGACUAAACAAACAAGGAGAUCUAAAAGAUGAGGUGAAAAAGAGGAUUUUAUAAAAUAUUGAGGGAGAGAGCAAGUUGAUGAUGAUUGUUGUCGAUGGUGGAUUUAAAGGUUGAUGGUGAUGAUGAUACUUUGUUACAUUUCAGGGUUGACUUGUGUGUAUCAUGUAUUAAUUUCCUGCUUCAUUUUGUAAAUUAGGUUAUCGGAUACUUUAUUUAGAGCUAACCAUGAAUCUGGUUGCGCUUCUUUCAACCUUCAUGCUCUUUACUGGAGUAUUUUCAGAAAGUUGAGGCCUGCUAUUGUUAGUGUGGGAGCUAUAUUCUCAUUCAGUACUAUUAAUGGAAAAGUUUCAAAAAUUGCCAUGAAGGCUGCUCAAGAUGAUAUAAAUUCUGAUCCAAGUUUUCUUGGUGGAACAAAAUUGGCUAUAUAACCUUGAAUGAUUCCAAUUACAGUGGAUUUCGGAGUAUCAUGGGAGCAUUACAGUUCAUGAAGACUGAUAGUGUAGCGAUAAUUGGCCCGCAGAGUGCUGUAAUGGCUCAUGUCCUCUCCCAUCUUGCAAAUGAAUUCCAUGUCCCUCUGUUGUCAUUCACAGCUCUUGAACCGAGUCUAUCGUCUCUCCAGUACCCUUACUUUGUUCAAACAGCACCAAAUGAUCUUAUACCAGAUGACAGCCAUUGCAGAGAUGGUAAGUUACUAUGGUUGGGCUGAUGUUGUCGCUGUUUUCAAUGAUGAUGAUCAGAGCCGAAAUAGCAUAAUCACAUUGGGUGAUAAGCUGGCAGAGAGACGCUGCAAAAUUUCAUAUAAAGCAGUUCUUCCUCCUGCUCCAGCAGUAACUCAAAGUCAGAUCACAAGUGAGUUAGUUAAGAUCCAACUGACGGAAUCUCGGGUUAUUGUUCUAAACACAGUCUCUGAAGCAGGUCUGAUGAUUUUUGACAUUGGCAAAAGACUUGGAAUGCUGCAGGAUGGGUAUAUUUGGAUAGCUACUACUUGGUUGUCACUAGAUUCAAAUUCACCACUUCAUUCAGACACUGCAAGCUCUAUCCAAGGAGCUCUCACACUUCGACCACACACACCUGAUUCAAAAAGGAAAAGAUAUUUUAUGGAACGGUGGAGCAAGCUGAGUAAUGGCUCCAUUGGGUUCAACCCUUAUGGUCUGUAUGCCUAUGAUACUGUCUGGUUGAUUGCAAGAGCCAUAAAAUUGCUUUUAGAUCAAGGACAAACCAUUUCAUUCUCCAAUGACACAAAAUUAAGCAACCUAGGACAAGGAACAAUUAACUUUGCUGCAUUGAGCAUAUUUGAUGGAGGGCAGGAGCUACUUCAUAAGAUUUUGCAGACUAAUAUGACUGGUCUUACGGGUCCAAUUCAAUUUAAUUCAGAUAGAUCUCUGAUUAAUCCUUCAUAUGAUAUUAUUAAUGUACUUGAAACUGGGUAUAAGCAGAUUGGAUACUGGUCUAUUCAUUCUGGGCUAUAUGAAAAGCCACCUAAUAGAUCCACUUCAAACAAACAUUUGUACAGUGUGGUAUGGCCUGGAGGAGUGACAAGGAAACCUCGUGGAUGGGUUUUUCGACGCAAUGGAAAACAAUUAAGAAUUGGAGUGCCAGAUCGAGUUAGUUAUCGGGACUUUGUUUCAAGAGCCAAUGGUACCAAUAUUAUUCGUGGAUAUUGUAUAGAUAUAUUCCUUUCUGCCAUAAGAUUACUUGAAUAUGCAGCUCCAUAUGAGUUCAUUCCAUUUGGGGAUGGUCAUAAGAAUCCUAACUAUUAUGAACUUGUUAAUGGUCUAACUUCUGAGGUAUUUGAUGCUGUUAUAGGUGACAUUGCUAUCGUCACAGAUCGAACAAAGAUAGUAGAUUUCACUCAGCCAUAUAUAGAAUCAGGGCUUGUUGUGGUGGCCCGAGUCAGGAAGUUGAACUCAAAUGCUUGAUUAUUCUCGCGCCCAUUGACUGCACCCAUGUGGGCAGUUACAGCGGCUUUUUUCUUUAUUAUUGGAGCAGUUGUGCGGAUACUUGAGCACAGAAUGAACGACGAAUUCCGGGGAUCUCCUAAGCAACAAAUCAUCACAAUUCUGUGGUACUUUGUCUAGGCCCUCACAGCCGCAGGCACCUAUCUCUAGUGCCUUCACCAGUUGUAAGUCAGCCUAUAUCUGCAUGCAACACAACCGUGCACUGUAAAGUCCUGCGCCACUCUACUCCAGCAGCCACUGCUCUCUAUGGCAGCAUUGCACAUCCAGCUGGGAAUCUGCCACUACUACCUGCUCCAGCCACUCAGACACCUUGCUUCGUUAUACUGCAUCACCAAUCACCAGCUACGGCGGUUCCUUUGUGGCCAUUGUCCUUGUUGUCCAGCCACAACAAUCACUACAUUUCACCUAUUGAACCAGUCUUAAUUGCCUAAUUUUUCUUGGUCAUGUCAAAAGAAAUCACUGGCGCUAGUUUCGACAUGUCAACUUCAGAUUUUAAUAAAUUCAAACUAGAGAUUGAAAAAUUAAGAACUAUAAUUGAGUCCUUAGAGAAAUUCACAGGUAUUGAAUUACUCGCACAACUCAGGUACAUUUUCUAUUUCACAUGGACUAAAUACUUCAUGUGGACUAAAUGCUUCACAUGGGCUAAAUGUCUCAUAUAGACCCUCUGCAUUGUCCUCAAUUAUAAACUUGGGAGCCAUAGAUCACAUGACCAACUCCUUUAAAUAACUUUAAAACCUAUGUCCCAUGUUCCAAUAGGAAGAAAAUAGUUAUUGCCGAUGGUUCCCUGACCAUUGUUGCAGGAGUUGGAAAUAUAAAGGUUAAUCCUCACUUUGUACUUACUAAGGUUUUUCAUGUUUUCAAGUUAUGAACAAAUGAGCUCUAAAUAGGAGAUGCAUCUUUUUUUAAAAAUAAAAAGUAUAAAGUGUAUCAUUAAUUACAUGCACCAAAGAGAUGCCAACACAUAUAUAAGAUUAUUUACAUAUCAACCAAUAUAUCAAUAAGGUCUCAUAAAUUCUCCAUGGAGUAUAAGAGUUUACUCAUAACAAAGAACUCAGAGUAUGGAAGCAUCUAAUUCUAACCUUAUCGAGAUCCUGUUCCACCCCAUCAAAUGCUCUUCUUUUUUUUUCUUUUCAUACCAUCCAAAAGAUUAUAAGUGAAAUGAAACCCAAAUAUUUUUUUCCAUCGCUAGUAUCCUUCCAUAACUAAAUCUCAUACCUUAUAAUACCAGUCGUUAUCUAACUAAUCCUCAGUAGUCCAUAUACCAUAGACUAUAGGUGGUAGGGUAAUUCUGAUUCAGGCAUAUCUUUUCAGUAUACCACUCUAGUUCCUAUCUUUUAUAAGGUCACUGGGAGGCAGCUGAGAGAUUGGAGGGGUGCAUGAGAAGGUUCAUAUGGUCUGCGGUUGGGAAAGAGAAUCGGGAUUUUCUGUUAGCUGGGAAAGGUGUCUUCAAUCCAAGUGUUCAAGGGGAUUGGAGAUUGGAAAUCGGGAAUCUUAGAUCAAAUUUUUUUUAUCAUUUUGACUAAAUGGUUUUGGUGCUUUUCAUGGAUCUGCAUAUUUCAUGGUACAUGGUCAUAAACAGUAUCUACAGGAGUGGAAGGGACAAAUGGGAUGUCAAAGUAUGUUCAUCCCACAGAUCCUAUUUAUGAAGCACUCAGAUUCAGAGAGAAGUACAAUUCACCUAAUAUAUGUUGAUGAUGUCUCUGAAAUAGGGGACAAAUUAGAAAAGAAAAAUUGAGACUCAAACAACACCUCACAGAAGAGUUUGAGAUCAUGGAGUUAGAAAAUUUGAAGUAUUUCAUUCAAAUUAAAGUUGACCACUCAAAAUCAGGAAUCUUCAUCUCACAGUAGAAGUACAUCAAUGACAUAUUAAGGGAUACUGACAAGCCAACAUGUAAAUCAGCUAAUACUCCAAUUGAUGACAAUCAUAAAUUGGGACUAGUAAAAGAGGAUACACCAAUAAUAAGAGAAUAUAUUAGAUAUUUGUUGGAAGAUUAAUGUACCUAUCAUACACAAGAGCAGAUAUUGCCUACGCAGUGAGUGCGAUAAGUUACUUGUACUUGCUUCCUUCUCUACUAAUAUUGAGAAAAUAUAAAAGUCAACGUGUUUUUACAUGUUAACUCACGCAACAAAACUAGAUUGCAAAUCUUUAUAUGGAUAUAUAAUCAGGUCUCUCUUUCUCACUCUUGAGCACUUUCUUUUGAGAGGACACAAUUUAUGAGAGGCACCAAUAAGGUGCCCUCUAAAACAAGAUAUACAGCAUUCACAAGUUUCUCAAAGACAACAUAUCAAAAAGGUCAACAAUAUCAGCCUAUCUUUGAUGAGAUGACUUUUCCCAAGAAGCAAGGAGUCCCCAACCAAUGAUUCCUUACUGUGGCAUAAGGGGAAGAAUUGUCUAAGACUCACUCUUCAAUGCUUGUACGCCCACAUUGCCCAUAUAUUAUGAGCACAUUCCUCAGGUAGAACUGAUGGACAUUUGUUGUAUCAUGUUUAAAAUUCAGAAAAGCUCUAAUAUUUGCUAGAAUUUAGAGCAUAUUUUUCCUAAAUAGGUCUUCUCCUAUAUAGUUAGUUUCUAGUUUAUAGCUUUUCCUUUUCUUCACAUAGGGAUCCCUAUAAAUACCAUGUACAUUUUGUUUCCAGCUUAUAAUACGGUUUAAGUAUUUCCUUCAACAAUAUGUAAUCAAGAAGCCUCUUUUUGAUAAUAAAGGUUAAGUAUUUCCAACUUAUAAUACAGUUUUAAGUAUUUCCUUCAACAAUAUGUAACUAAAAAGCCUCCUUUUGAUAAACCACCAACUUAUUGCAGAGACAAGGUGCGUGUGUUUUGUUUAGGGGGUGGGGAAGGU
Carica papaya (papaya) is the source of this 5035-nucleotide RNA transcript. It is a transcript of the gene named glutamate receptor 3.1-like, with no coding region annotated. NCBI's taxonomy places the organism in Eukaryota, Viridiplantae, Streptophyta, Magnoliopsida, Brassicales, Caricaceae. The record is from RefSeq and is a predicted model, not a curated record.